CCCUUAGAUGUUCUGGGCUGCACGCGCGCUACACUGAAGCUAUCAACACGUUUUCCCUCCCUGAGAAGGGCGGGUAACCUUUUGAAUCAGCUUCGUGGUAGGGAUCGGGGCUUGCAAUUGUUCCCCGUGUACCAGGAAUUCCUAGUAGACGCGAGUCAUAAGCUCGCAUCGAUUAAGUCCCUGCCCUUUGUACACACCGCCCGUCGCUACUACCGAUUGAACGUUUUAGUGAGGCAUUUGGACCGACGCAUCUCAGUUUAACCGCUGGUUUGUGUUGGAAAGACUUCCAAACUUGAGCGUUUAGAGGAAGUAAAAGUCGUAACA
RNAcentral lists this ribosomal RNA (324 nucleotides) under uncultured eukaryote. RNAcentral describes it as "partial 18S ribosomal RNA". It matches the Rfam family "Eukaryotic small subunit ribosomal RNA", at positions 1470 to 1796 of the family's 1831-position model. The record is from RNAcentral.